GUCGAGCGAGCGGAACUAACAGAUUUACUUCGGUAAUGACGUUAGGAAAGCGAGCGGCGGAUGGGUGAGUAACACGUGGGGAACCUGCCCCAUAGUCUGGGAUACCACUUGGAAACAGGUGCUAAUACCGGAUAAGAAAGCAGAUCGCAUGAUCAGCUUUUAAAAGGCGGCGUAAGCUGUCGCUAUGGGAUGGCCCCGCGGUGCAUUAGCUAGUUGGUAAGGUAAAGGCUUACCAAGGCGAUGAUGCAUAGCCGAGUUGAGAGACUGAUCGGCCACAUUGGGACUGAGACACGGCCCAAACUCCUACGGGAGGCAGCAGUAGAGAAUCUUCCACAAUGGACGCAAGUCUGAUGGAGCAACGCCGCGUGAGUGAAGAAGGUUUUCGGAUCGCAAAGCUCUGUUGUUGGUGAAGAAGGAUAGAGGUAGUAACUGGCCUUUAUUUGACGGUAAUCAACCAGAAAGUCACGGCUAACUACGUGCCAGCAGCCGCGGUAAUACGUAGGUGGCAAGCGUUGUCCGGAUUUAUUGGGCGUAAAGCGAGCGCAGGCGGAAGAAUAAGUCUGAUGUGAAAGCCCUCGGCUUAACCGAGGAACUGCAUCGGAAACUGUUUUUCUUGAGUGCAGAAGAGGAGAGUGGAACUCCAUGUGUAGCGGUGGAAUGCGUAGAUAUAUGGAAGAACACCAGUGGCGAAGGCGGCUCUCUGGUCUGCAUCUGACGCUGAGGCUCGAAAGCAUGGGUAGCGAACAGGAUUAGAUACCCUGGUAGUCCAUGCCGUAAACGAUGAGUGCUAAGUGUU
RNAcentral lists this ribosomal RNA (796 nucleotides) under uncultured bacterium. Its description in RNAcentral is "bacterial SSU rRNA". It matches the Rfam family "Bacterial small subunit ribosomal RNA", at positions 61 to 824 of the family's 1533-position model. The record is from RNAcentral.